Molecule: small RNA, 642 nt
Filed under: Pongo abelii (Sumatran orangutan)
Lineage: Eukaryota; Metazoa; Chordata; Mammalia; Primates; Hominidae
Description: retained intron
Source: RNAcentral
UGGCGGUCGGGGGUGCUGGUUUGAUUUCCUCUGCAUGCCUGUCUUCCAUCCGCGUUUCAAGAGGGAGUUCAUUCAGGAACCUGCUAAGAAUCGGCCCGGUCCCCAGACACGAUCAGACCUACUGCUGUCAGGAAGGGGUAGGGACCAUCCCAUAUGCCCCUUAAUUAUUAGAGGCAAUAACAACUUCUGCUUUAUCGGGGCCCUCAUUCUCCUCCUUUUCUAACUUGGAUAUAUUUGUUAGUCCCUGGGAUAUAGAUAACUUGUUUUCUCCUUGCUUCUCUAUUCUGCAUCAGGCUAUCCCAUGUCUAUGUAGAAAAAACCUUUGUCUCUCAUUUCUACUCUUGAUUCCCAAACUAAAAAUUGAACAAGUAAAGUGCUGAACCUUAUUCAGUAUUUGUCUUUCUUGGGUGGGGGAGUGCAGACUGGAAUACGCUAAUUGUGGGAAAGCUUUCUCCAUGGAUUCGUCCAGACUCAAAAGUGGAGAAGAUUCGCAGGAAUUCCGAGGCGGCCAUGUUGCAGGAGCUGAAUUUUGGUGCAUAUUUGGGUCUUCCAGCUUUCCUGCUGCCCCUUAAUCAGGAAGAUAACACCAACCUGGCCAGAGUUUUGACCAACCACAUCCACACUGGCCAUCACUCUUCCAUG